This 245-nucleotide ribosomal RNA is filed under the name uncultured bacterium. Its description in RNAcentral is "partial 16S ribosomal RNA". It matches the Rfam family "Bacterial small subunit ribosomal RNA", at positions 527 to 771 of the family's 1533-position model. The record is from RNAcentral.
GUAGGUGGCAAGCGUUAUCCGGAUUUAUUGGGCGUAAAGGGAACGCAGGCGGUCUUUUAAGUCUGAUGUGAAAGCCCCCGGCUUAACCGAGGAAUUGCAUCGGAAACUGUGUUUCUUGAGUGCAGAAGAGGAGAGUGGAACUCCAUGUGUAGCGGUGGAAUGCGUAGAUAUAUGGAAGAACACCAGUGGCGAAGGCGGCUCUCUGGUCUGUAACUGACGCUGAGGUUCGAAAGCGUGGGUAGCAA